AGUGAGCGCGAUAAGGGCAUUCGGUGGAUGCCUUGGCACCAGGAGGCGAUGAAGGACGUAGCACGCUGCGAAAAGCUACGGGGAGCCGCGAGCAGGCUUUGAUCCGUAGAUAUCCGAAUGGGGCAACCCACCCGCAAGGGUAUCAUCAUCUGAAUACAUAGGAUGAUGAGGCGAACCCGGGGAACUGAAACAUCUCAGUACCUGGAGGAAAAGACAUCAAUUGAGAUUCUGCUAGUAGUGGCGAGCGAACGCGGAACAGGCCAGUGGUCUUUGGAAGAGAAGCAGAACACUCUGGAAAGGGUGGCCAUAGUGGGUGAUAGUCCCGUAUGCGUAGUGCUUUUAAAGAUCCUUGAGUAGGGCGGGGCACGUGAAACCCUGUCUGAACAUGGGGGGACCACCCUCCAAGCCUAAAUACUCCCUGGUGACCGAUAGUGAACAAGUACCGUGAGGGAAAGGUGAAAAGCACCCCGACGAGGGGAGUGAAAUAGACCUGAAACCGAAUGCCUACAAGCAGUCGGAGCCUCUUAUGGGGUGACGGCGUACCUUUUGUAUAAUGGGUCAGCGAGUUUCUGUUUGCAGCAAGCUUAAGCC
RNAcentral lists this ribosomal RNA (591 nucleotides) under Wolbachia endosymbiont of Drosophila subpulchrella. RNAcentral's name for it is "bacterial LSU rRNA". It matches the Rfam family "Bacterial large subunit ribosomal RNA", at positions 1 to 652 of the family's 2925-position model. The record is from RNAcentral. Lineage: Bacteria; Pseudomonadati; Pseudomonadota; Alphaproteobacteria; Rickettsiales; Anaplasmataceae.